GGCUUCCAGAAGUUGAACGCUGGCGGCAGGCCUAACACAUGCAAGUCCGAGCGGAUGACGGGAGCUUUGCUCCUUUGAUUCAGCGGCGGACGGGUGAGUAAUGCCUAGGAAUCUGCCUGGUAGUGGGGGACAACGUUUCGAAAGGAACGCUAAUACCGCAUACGUCCUACGGGAGAAAGCAGGGGACCUUCGGGCCUUGCGCUAUCAGAUGAGCCUAGGUCGGAUUAGCUAGUUGGUGGGGUAAUGGCUCACCAAGGCGACGAUCCGUAACUGGUCUGAGAGGAUGAUCAGUCACACUGGAACUGAGACACGGUCCAGACUCCUACGGGAGGCAGCAGUGGGGAAUAUUGGACAAUGGGCGAAAGCCUGAUCCAGCCAUGCCGCGUGUGUGAAGAAGGUCUUCGGAUUGUAAAGCACUUUAAGUUGGGAGGAAGGGCAGUAAGUUAAUACCUUGCUGUUUUGACGUUACCGACAGAAUAAGCACCGGCUAACUCUGUGCCAGCAGCCGCGGUAAUACAGAGGGGCGGCCAAGCGUUAUAUCGGGAAUUACGUGGGCAGAAAAGGCGCGCGUGUAGGUGGUUUCAUUAAGUUGGAAUGAGAAACGCCCGCGGGUCUCAACCUGGGAACUGCAUCCAAAACUGGCGAGCUAGAGUACGGUAGAGGGUGGGUAGAAUCUCCUGGUGUAGCGGUGAAAUGCGUAGAUAUAGGAAAGAAACACCAGUGGGCGAAGGCGACCACCUGGACUGAUACUGACACUGAGGUGCGAACACCAGUGGCGAAGGCGACAACAUGGACUAGAUACUGACACUGGUAGUCCACGCCGUAAAGCGAUGGGGAGCAAACUAGCCGAUGAGAUACCCUUGAGAUUUUAGUGGCGCACGCCGUAAACGAUGUCAACUAGCCGUUGGAAUCCUUGAGAUUUUAGUGGCGCAGCUAACGCAUUAAGUUGACCGCCUGGGGAGUACGGGCCGCAAGGUUAAAACUCAAAUGAAUUGACGGGGGCCCGCACAAGCAGCUGGAGCAUGUGGUUUAAAUUCGUAAGCAACCCGAAAAACCUUAUCCAGGCCUUGACAUGCUAGAGAACAUUUCCAGAAAAUGAGAUUGGUUGUCCUUCCUGGAACUACUUGACACCAGAAGACGUGCAUGGCUGUCGUCAGCUCGUGUCGUGAGAUGUUGGGUUAAGUCCCGUAACGAGCGCAACCCUUGUCCUUAGUUACCAGCACGUUAUGGUGGGCACUCUAAGGAGACUGCCGGUGACAAACCGGAGGAAGGUGGGGAUGACGUCAAGUCAUCAUGGCCCUUACGGCCUGGGCUACACACGUGCUACAAUGGUCGGUACAGAGGGUUGCCAAGCCGCGAGGUGGAGCUAAUCUCACAAAACCGAUCGUAGUCCGGAUCGCAGUCUGCAACUCGACUGCGUGAAGUCGGAAUCGCUAGUAAUCGCGAAUCAGAAUGUCGCGGUGAAUACGUUCCCGGGCCUUGUACACACCGCCCGUCACACCAUGGGAGUGGGUUGCACCAGAGGUAGCUAGUCUAACCUUCGGGAGGACGGUUACCACGGUGUGAUUCAUGACUGGGGUGAAGUCGUAACAAGGUAACCGUAAAUCGGU
This 1610-nucleotide ribosomal RNA is filed under the name Pseudomonas putida. Its description in RNAcentral is "bacterial SSU rRNA". It matches the Rfam family "Bacterial small subunit ribosomal RNA". The record is from RNAcentral. Lineage: Bacteria; Pseudomonadati; Pseudomonadota; Gammaproteobacteria; Pseudomonadales; Pseudomonadaceae.